Molecule: transfer RNA, 68 nt
Filed under: Anastrepha ludens (Mexican fruit fly)
Lineage: Eukaryota; Metazoa; Arthropoda; Insecta; Diptera; Tephritidae
Also listed under: 3 other names
Description: tRNA-Ser
Source: RNAcentral
AGUUAAUGAGCUUGAACAAGCAUAUGUUUUGAAAACAUAAUAUAGGAACAAAAAUUUCCUAUUAACUU